RNAcentral lists this ribosomal RNA (497 nucleotides) under uncultured bacterium. RNAcentral's name for it is "partial 16S ribosomal RNA". It matches the Rfam family "Bacterial small subunit ribosomal RNA", at positions 28 to 507 of the family's 1533-position model. The record is from RNAcentral.
GACGAACGCUGGCGGCGUGCCUAAUACAUGCAAGUUGAGCGCUGAAGGUUGGUACUUGUACCAACUGGAUGAGCAGCGAACGGGUGAGUAACGCGUGGGGAAUCUGCCUUUGAGCGGGGGACAACAUUUGGAAACGAAUGCUAAUACCGCAUAAAAACUUUAAACACAAGUUUUAAGUUUGAAAGAUGCAAUUGCAUCACUCAAAGAUGAUCCCGCGUUGUAUUAGCUAGUUGGUGAGGUAAAGGCUCACCAAGGCGAUGAUACAUAGCCGACCUGAGAGGGUGAUCGGCCACAUUGGGACUGGGACACGGCCCAAACUCCUACGGGAGGCAGCAGUAGGGAAUCUUCGGCAAUGGACGAGAGUCUGACCGAGCAACGCCGCGUGAGUGAAGAAGGUUUUCGGAUCGUAAAACUCUGUUGGUAGAGAAGAACGUUGGUGAGAGUGGAAAGCUCAUCAAGUGACGGUAACUACCCAGAAAGGGACGGCUAACUACGUG